GAUGAACGCUGGCGGCGUGCCUAAUACAUGCAAGUCGAGCGAACAGAUAAGGAGCUUGCUCCUUUGACGUUAGCGGCGGACGGGUGAGUAACACGUGGAUAACCUACCUAUAAGACUGGGAUAACUUCGGGAAACCGGAGCUAAUACCGGAUAACAUAUUGAACCGCAUGGUUCAAUAGUGAAAGGCGGCUUUGCUGUCACUUAUAGAUGGAUCCGCGCCGUAUUAGCUAGUUGGUAAGGUAACGGCUUACCAAGGCAACGAUACGUAGCCGACCUGAGAGGGUGAUCGGCCGCACUGGAACUGAGACACGGUCCAGACUCCUACGGGAGGCAGCAGUAGGGAAUCUUCCGCAAUGGGCGAAAGCCUGACGGAGCAACGCCGCGUGAGUGAUGAAGGUCUUCGGAUCGUAAAACUCUGUUAUCAGGGAAGAACAAAUGUGUAAGUAACUGUGCACAUCUUGACGGUACCUGAUCAGAAAGCCACGGCUAACUACGUG
Molecule: ribosomal RNA, 497 nt
Filed under: uncultured bacterium
Lineage: Bacteria
Description: partial 16S ribosomal RNA
Rfam family: Bacterial small subunit ribosomal RNA
Source: RNAcentral